Molecule: long non-coding RNA, 613 nt
Filed under: Musa acuminata (dwarf banana)
Lineage: Eukaryota; Viridiplantae; Streptophyta; Magnoliopsida; Zingiberales; Musaceae
Description: long non-coding RNA (MACU_LNC011702)
Source: RNAcentral
UUGAUUAUGAUCUAGUAUCUUUUUCAGUCAAUAAUGAUGCCUCAUAAUCUUUAUCUCAGCACACUAAAAAAUGACAGCUCAUCAGCAUAUUCUCUGCACAAAGUGAAAGCUGUUUCAAGGUGCUUUUCUUCAAGACAAAGGAAUGCAUUAAAGGAGUUGGUUGGCAGCUGUGAACAUUUCUUCAUUACCAAUGAGUGCAUUAAAAUAAUUGGUUAGAAGCUGUAAACACUUAAUUUCGAAAUUCCCUAUGCAUGAAGGGUUGUUUCAUGCACUAGUAUUUAUUUUGGUGUUUAGGACUUAGAAAGGACUUUAGAAACUGAUGAUAUCUGGGCAGAAGCUCUUAGAGAACCCCUUAAACUCUGGUAUCUCUUGGAUGCGUCCUUGAGUGGUGAGUCUUUUAUUUUCUAGUUCUGUAUCCUCAUUUAAUUUCCGUUGGGUGGUGAACUUUCUGUAUCCCAUUGCGAUUUUAAACUUGGUGGUGAGCUAUAUUUCGUUUUACCGAAGUUUCUUCAAGAGUUCGUUCAUUGCCUUCUGUGAUAUUUUCUAUCUGUACAACUGUUCUAUUGGUAUUCUUUCGAAAUCCAUUCUGCAUUUUUACCCUCCCCGGUAUCAG